This 355-nucleotide unclassified non-coding RNA is filed under the name soil metagenome. RNAcentral describes it as "partial contains 5.8S ribosomal RNA, internal transcribed spacer 2, and large subunit ribosomal RNA". The stretch from base 1 to 120 matches the Rfam family "5.8S ribosomal RNA", at positions 35 to 154 of the family's 154-position model. The record is from RNAcentral.
GAUGAAGAACGUAGCGAAAUGCGAUAAGUAGUGUGAAUUGCAGAAUUCAGUGAAUCAUCGAUUCUUUGAACGCACAUUGCGCCUUCUAGUAUUCUGGGAGGCAUGCCUGUUUGAGCGUCAUUAAACCUCUCUCAAGUAUGAUUACUUGGAUGUGAAGGAAGAGUACCUUAAACUUAAGGAGUGUUCUCCUUUGAAAUUGAUUAGCAGAUGGUAAUGUUAUUAAAUCCCUGAUGUUGUAAGAAAUAACAGUGGUUUUGUAGACUAUUAUCUAGCUUUAAAUUAUAAUUUUUAUUAUGGUUGACCUCAAAUCAGGUAAGGAUACCCGCUGAACUUAAGCAUAUCAAUAAGCGGAGGA